ACUCUGCACUCACUGUGAAGACUGCUGCGUCCAGAACUGUACCACCUCUGACAGCACAGGACAGGAUAGGACAGCACAGGACAGGACAGGACAGCACAGCACAGGACAGGACAGGACAGGACAGGACAGGACGAAGAAAAACAAACAAACACAGAAAGGGAAAACAACGGAGUUUUUGUUGAUGUUGUGAAGGAGUCUACCUACCAUGGUUCAGCGUGCGUAAAAUGCGCAAUUGUUCUAGCUCAUUAUUUUCACUUGAAAAUUCGGACACUAAAAAAUAAAUAAACGACACUAAAGUAUUUACACCGGAUAUAAUCCCUUUGAGUCUGAUCAAAUGUUAAAAAUGACCGCAGAGCAUGACAAGUCCAUCAGCGACCCACCGUGUAGCCCGGCGGGGACUACGAGCUCCAUGUCGCAGGAUGAUUCCGACUCGGAUGCGCCCUCGUCGCCAACGGGAUCAGAUGGAUCACUCCUCGCUGGUAUAGGAAAGAAACUGGACGGCGAGGAUGAUGACCGAUUCCCAGCCUGCAUACGUGACGCGGUGUCGCAGGUUCUCAAGGGAUAUGACUGGUCCCUCGUCCCCAUGCCCGUUCGGGGAAAUGGCUCGCUGAAAAAUAAACCCCAUGUCAAAAGACCGAUGAACGCGUUCAUGGUGUGGGCGCAAGCGGCGCGCAGAAAGCUGGCGGACCAAUACCCUCAUCUGCACAAUGCGGAACUGAGCAAGACUUUGGGGAAGCUAUGGCGCUUACUCUCAGAGAAUGAGAAGCGGCCUUUUGUGGAGGAAGCAGAGAGACUUCGGGUGCAGCACAAAAAAGACCAUCCCGACUACAAGUACCAGCCUCGGCGUCGGAAGAGUGUGAAACCUGGGCAGAGUGACUCCGACUCUGGUGCAGAGCUGGGGAAUCACAUGUACAAGGCUGAACCAGGAUUGUUGGCAGGCAUAGCCGAUGGACACCACCACCCUGAACAUGCAGGCCAACCCCACGGUCCACCCACACCCCCACCACCCCCAAAACGGACCUGCACCACGGGGCAAACUGGACAUGAAGCACGAGGGACGGCGCCUGCUGGACAGCGGCCGACAGAACAUCGACUUCAGCAACGUGGACAUCUCCGAGCUCAGCACCGACGUCAUCAGCAACAUGGAGGCCUUCGACGUGCAUGAGUUUGACCAGUAUCUACCGCUCAACGGCCACGCCUCCACCGCUGGCGCAGGCGUGGACCACCACGGCCACCAUGGACCAAACCCUGCAUCUGGUGCUAUCUCGUAUACAUCAUACAGCCACGCCACAGCGAACAGUGCCGUUUGGAGCCGCAAGAGUGCCACCAUGUCUGCCUCUUCCUCAACUUCUAGCGAGGCGGUCCCACAGCACCGGGCCCACAUCAAGACGGAGCAGCUGAGCCCCAGCCACUACAGUGGCGACAGUCACUCUCACAGCUCCCCCUCCCACUCAGAUUACUCCCACUCCUACACAGCCCAGACCUGCGUGACGUCAUCCGCAGCUGCAGCCUCCUUCUCCAGUUCUCAGUGUGACUAUACAGACCUCCAGAGUUCCAACUAUUACAGCCCCUACUCAGGCUACCCUUCCAGCCUGUACCAGUACCCUUACUUUCACUCCUCCAGAAGGGCGUACCACGGGAGCCCCAUCCUCAACAGUUUGUCCAUUCCCCCCACCCACAGUCCUCCCACCUCCAACUGGGACCAGCCGGUGUACACCACCCUAUCCAGACCGUAGGUGACUGUUCAUUACUCACCAGGGACGUGUUCAUCAAUAUGUUUUGCAACGGACAACGAAGAUGACCAUUUCUUAUUCGACAAGUCCAAGUAGUCCCUCCCCUUUUUGUUUGUUUGGUGCCCAAUGAACACAACCCUGGUCUCAUGGAAAUGUGAAAACUGGAGGACGAGGAUUGGAGGGUGCUCGGCUAUCCCCGUGCCAAUUUCAACAUAUCGAAGAAAGAAUAUCGAAGUGCCUGCUGAUUUUAUACAAACCGUUUUUGUUUUACCUUACCCAUGGAGAGACAGAAAGACUGACUUUGACAAAGAAAUCAAAUCAAAGGCGAGCCAAAAUUCCUCUGUGAGGAGUCGGACCCCCCCCCCUCCCCCACACACACAUCUAGUACAGCCACGCCUUCUUCAAGUUCAGGGUUGUGUUCAUUAGGGCACACAAUGGAAAUGUUUUAAGAUAUAUUGCAACGGAAAAUGAGCUUUUCUUAUUUCUUCUGUUUGGUGCCUAAUGAACACAACCCAGGUCUGCACAUGUUGUUGUGUUGUGUGCACCGUUGAGACAGCAGCGUGGAGGCCUGCCACAGACUUGUGUAGGAGAGAGAGAGAAUUACGCUGAGGCCCAAGUCCUUGGUGACGCAGAUGGAGAAACAGAUACUUUUGGAAUGAAGCUCUGGGAUUAAGGAUUUAUUCACAGGCUGAAUCCCAUAUGGCACCCUAUUCCCUAUAUAGUGCACUACUUUUAACCAGGGCCCAUAGGGCUCUGGUCAAGUAGUGCACUACAGUAUGAGGCUGAGCUGUAUAACUUAAAAAUGCACACAGAUAUUUACAUCAGUGGACCAGUCUUAAUUCAGUUGUUCAUUUGAAUUCUUAAAUGUUCAUUUUGUUGUUAUUUUGAUGUUAGAAAUGUCUUAAAUAUGUAUUUAUGUUCAUCACAUUAUUUCCCGUGUUAUUUCCAAUGUCGCCGUUAAACACCAGUAACAAAGUCGGGGUCUAUCACCGUGUUUGUUACAUGGAAGUGGGUGGGUGGUGGAUCUAAGUACAGUAGAAACUCCAUAACCCAUUACUACAUUUUAUAACAUCAUUCCCUAGACGACCAAUAAUGAACAUUGUCUCCAUUCCAAGUUGCAGGAAAGCAAAGUAGGACCAAUAGAAUAGAUCUAUUUGAAUAUCACAUGAUGCAACAGAUACCAAUCGACCAAUAGAAUGCCACCUGAUCCAACAGGUGCCUGGAAGCUAUGCUUGACCAAUUGCGAUUAGUGAUGAUGUGGGGUUUAAGGAAGUGGGGUAAGAUAACACCAGACACACUGAGUAAUGUGUCAGCUGGACUCAUGCAGACAGGACGACACACAGAUGUGUGUGUUCGUGUGUGUGUUGUCCUAGGGGACCAAGCAUGAACAAGUAAGGACAGAACAGUUGUUUUGAUUGACUAAGCAGCAUACUGUACUGUUAUCUGAGCUCAUCAGGGCCACCGAAAGCUUACAAAGAAAGACAGAGAUUCUUCUUAUUCACUAUGGCAGAAUGCAUGUGACAAUGUUCAUGUAUGUGUUUUGGGUCAAUUCCUCAGAAGUCAUAAGGUGCCAAUUCACUGUAACCCAGUUUACAAUGCGCAGAACAUAUUUGUGUCUUCUAAUGCUUUAUCAUCAUUUCCCAAUUGGAUUAUUAACAAACUUCAUGCAGCAUACAGUACAAUCAGUAAUCCACACUACAGAAUCAAAUCAUCUCUACGUAAUCUUAAUCUGGUGCCGUGUGUAACAGCCUCAAUGUCUGUUCAGUGUGUCUUUGUACAGAGCACCAUACUCUACUUUAUGUCCACAGAAUGCAGUGUUUUUCUUUAUAUUAUCGCAGUGUAUGUUUUUAAUGACUAAGCUGUGAACUAUGUCAUCAUCUAUAUUAACUAGGUCAUCCACACGCCACAGCUAACCCAUUUGCUGGCCGUUUCUCUGUAAAGAAAUAAAAAUGAACUUUUCUCAUUGA
Molecule: RNA transcript, 3700 nt
Organism: Oncorhynchus gorbuscha (pink salmon)
Lineage: Eukaryota; Metazoa; Chordata; Actinopteri; Salmoniformes; Salmonidae
Gene name: transcription factor Sox-8-like
Exons: 3
Source: RefSeq, a predicted model, not a curated record